This 251-nucleotide ribosomal RNA is filed under the name uncultured bacterium. Its description in RNAcentral is "partial 16S ribosomal RNA". It matches the Rfam family "Bacterial small subunit ribosomal RNA", at positions 524 to 774 of the family's 1533-position model. The record is from RNAcentral.
UACGGGGGGGGCAAGCGUUGUUCGGAAUUACUGGGCGUAAAGGGCUCGUAGGCGGCCAACUAAGUCAGACGUGAAAUCCCCAGGCUUAACCUGGGAACUGCGUCUGAUACUGGAUGGCUUGAAUUCGGGAGAGGGAUGCAGAAUUCCAGGUGUAGCGGUGAAAUGCGUAGAUAUCUGGAGGAAUACCGGUGGCGAAGGCGGCAUCCUGGACCGACAUUGACGCUGAGGAGCGAAAGCUAGGGGAGCAAACG